This 30-nucleotide ribosomal RNA is filed under the name Fusarium sp. BXT10-1. RNAcentral describes it as "partial 28S ribosomal RNA". The record is from RNAcentral. Lineage: Eukaryota; Fungi; Ascomycota; Sordariomycetes; Hypocreales; Nectriaceae.
UCAGGUAGGAAUACCCGCUGAACUUAAGCA